CAGCACCUGAAAUCAAGCAAGGUUACCCGCUGAACUUAAGCAUAUCAGU
This 49-nucleotide ribosomal RNA is filed under the name Paraclausilocola elongata. RNAcentral describes it as "partial 23S ribosomal RNA". The record is from RNAcentral. Lineage: Eukaryota; Ciliophora; Oligohymenophorea; Astomatida; Clausilocolidae.